RNAcentral lists this ribosomal RNA (516 nucleotides) under Paralithodes brevipes. RNAcentral describes it as "partial 16S rRNA". It matches the Rfam family "Bacterial large subunit ribosomal RNA", at positions 1831 to 2597 of the family's 2925-position model. The record is from RNAcentral. Lineage: Eukaryota; Metazoa; Arthropoda; Malacostraca; Decapoda; Lithodidae.
GUCUAUAUGAAGGUGUAUAUAGUUUGGCCUGCUCACUGAUUAAAUUAAAGAGCCGCAGUAUUUUGACUGUGCGAAGGUAGCAUAAUAAAUUGUCUUUUAAAUAAAGGCUUGAAUGAAAGGUUGGACAAAGUAUCAUCUGUUUCUUAAAUAUUUAUUGAAUUUGACUUUUAAGUGAAAAGGCUUAAAUAAAUCAAAAAGACGAUAAGACCCUAUAAAUCUUUACAAUAAAUAUAUUUUAUAUUUUAUAUUAUAAGUGUAUAAUAAAUAAAAAUAUAAAUUUGUUGCGCUGGGGCGGCGUAGAUAUAUAAAUAAACUGUCUAUAAUUUAAAUACAAUAAUCAUUGUUUAGUAAAAUUGAUCCUUAAAUAGAUUAAAAGAUUAAGAUACUUUAGGGAUAACAGCGUUAUUUUUUUUGAGAGUUCCUAUCGAAGAAAAAGUUUGCGACCUCGAUGUUGAAUUAAAGUAUCUUUAUGGUGUAGCCGCUAUAAGAGAGAGUCUGUUCGACUUUUAAUACUUU